This 467-nucleotide ribosomal RNA is filed under the name uncultured bacterium. RNAcentral describes it as "partial 16S ribosomal RNA". It matches the Rfam family "Bacterial small subunit ribosomal RNA", at positions 28 to 507 of the family's 1533-position model. The record is from RNAcentral.
GACGAACGCUGGCGGCGUGCUUAACACAUGCCAGUCGAACGGAAAGGCCCUGCUUUUGUGGGGUGCUCGAGUGGCGAACGGGUGAGUAACACGUGAGUAACCUGCCCUUGACUUUGGGAUACUUCAGGAAACUGGGGCUAAUACCGGAUAGGAGCUCCUGCUGCAUGGUGGGGGUUGGAAAGUUUCGGCGGUUGGGGAUGGACUCGCGGCUUAUCAGCUUGUUGGUGGGGUAGUGGCUUACCAAGGCUUUGACGGGUAGCCGGCCUGAGAGGGUGACCGGCCACAUUGGGACUGAGAUACGGCCCAGACUCCUACGGGAGGCAGCAGUGGGGAAUAUUGCACAAUGGGCGGAAGCCUGAUGCAGCAACGCCGCGUGCGGGAUGACGGCCUUCGGGUUGUAAACCGCUUUCGCCUGUGACGAAGCGUGAGUGACGGUAAUGGGUAAAGAAGCACCGGCUAACUACGUG